UUGUGGUGCCCACCAUUCAAAUUUGAUCCCCCGCAUAGAUCCUACAUAUUCAAAAUGAACAAACGAAGUAAAUAUAAAUAUUCUUUCAAUCUUGAUAUGAGGAAGUAUGUGAAUCCAAAGUUACAAGUUCAGGAUUUAAACUUCCUGUGAAUUUCUAAGAUAAAGUACUUUUUCAUGAACUGAAGCAUGAGCCAAGCCCGAAGAAUGUGAAAGAAUUUUUCCUCGUAUAACUUGUGCAUUACUCGCAUCGGGUGAAGGAAUGUCCAUCAAUCUCUAGUAUAUCUUGAAAAUUCAAUCCAGGAUUGUUUUGCACCAAUUGACUAAAAACUGUCGCAUUUCUUGUCUCAUUUCAC
Molecule: long non-coding RNA, 353 nt
Filed under: Capsicum annuum
Lineage: Eukaryota; Viridiplantae; Streptophyta; Magnoliopsida; Solanales; Solanaceae
Description: long non-coding RNA (CANN_LNC013736)
Source: RNAcentral